This 196-nucleotide ribosomal RNA is filed under the name uncultured prokaryote. RNAcentral describes it as "partial 16S ribosomal RNA". The stretch from base 22 to 196 matches the Rfam family "Bacterial small subunit ribosomal RNA", at positions 557 to 784 of the family's 1533-position model. The record is from RNAcentral.
ACAGGUGGGAUCGCGUUUUCAGGUUCGAAGUGUGAGUAGGUGGCCCCGUGCUUGAGUCCGAAGAGGAGAGUUAGAGGAAGAACCAAUGGAAGGAUGAAAUAUCUAGAUCUUGGUUGGAAGAUCAAAGCGACAGCAUCACUCUAUCCUGGGACUGACACUGAAUCACUAAAGUGUGGGGAGCAAACCGGGUAAGACA